RNAcentral lists this ribosomal RNA (1235 nucleotides) under metagenome. Its description in RNAcentral is "bacterial LSU rRNA". It matches the Rfam family "Bacterial large subunit ribosomal RNA", at positions 1564 to 2808 of the family's 2925-position model. The record is from RNAcentral.
UGAAUACGAGAUGCUACGGCAUUGAAGCAGUGUAUGUCAGACUUCCAAGAAAAGCUCGCAAUGUCAUAAACAAUAAAUGCCUGUACCAUAACCGACACAGGUGGGUAGGUAGAGUAUACUAAGGGGCGCGAGAUAACUCUCUCUAAGGAACUCGGCAAAAUGACUCCGUAACUUCGGGAGAAGGAGUGCCUUAUUUUAUAAGGUUGCAAUAACAAGAUCCAAGCAACUGUUUACCAAAAACACAGGUCUCCGCUAAGUCGAAAGACGAUGUAUGGGGGCUGACGCCUGCCCAGUGCCAGAAGGUUAAAGAAGUUGGUUAGCUUCGGCGAAGCUGAUGACUGAAGCCCUGGUGAACGGCGGCCGUAACUAUAACGGUCCUAAGGUAGCGAAAUUCCUUGUCGGGUAAGUUCCGACCCGCACGAAAGGCGUAAUGAUUUGGAUACUGUCUCGGAGAGGGGCUCGGUGAAAUAGACUUGUCUGUGAAGAUGCGGACUACCUGCACCUGGACAGAAAGACCCUAUGAAGCUUUACUGUAACUUGAGAUUGAAAUUGGACUUUAUUUGCGCAGUAUAGGUGGGAGACGUUGAGAAUAUUCUUGCGGGAAUAUUGGAGUCAUCAGUGAGAUACCACUCUUGUAAUGUUAGAUUUCUAACUUGGUAUCAUUAUCUGGUCAAAGGACAGUUUCAGGCGGGCAGUUUGACUGGGGCGGUCGCCUCCUAAACGGUAACGGAGGCGCACAAAGGUUUCCUCUGAACGUGUAGAAAUCGUAUCUAGAGUGUAAAGGCAUAAGGAAGCUUGACUGUGAGACCUACAAGUCGAGCAGGGACGAAAGUCGGUCUUAGUGAUCUGACGGUGCUGAGUGGAAAGGCCGUCACUCAACGGAUAAAAGUUACUCUAGGAUAACAGGCUGAUCUCCCCCAAGAGUUCACAUCGACGGGGAGGUUUGGCACCUCGAUGUCGGCUCAUCGCAUCCUGGGGCGGUAGUACGUCCCAAGGGUUGGGCUGUUCGCCCAUGAAAGCGGUACGCGAGCUGGGUUCAGAACGUCGUGAGACAGUUCGGUCCAUAUCCGGUGUAGGCGUUAGAAUAUUGAGAGGAGCCUUCUUUAGUACGAGAGGACCGAGAAGGACAUACCUCUGGUGUACCAGUUAUCGUGCCAACGGUAAACGCUGGGUAGCUAUGUACGGAGUGGAUAACCGCUGAAAGCAUCUAAGUGGGAAGCCCACCUCAAGAUAAG